AUGCAAGUCGAGCGAACCGACGGGAGCUUGCUCCCUUAGGUCAGCGGCGGACGGGUGAGUAACACGUGGGUAACCUGCCUGUAAGACUGGGAUAACUCCGGGAAACCGGGGCUAAUACCGGAUGCUUGAUUGAACCGCAUGGCUCAAUCAUAAAAGGUGGCUUUUAGCUACCACUUGCAGAUGGACCCGCGGCGCAUUAGCUAGUUGGUGAGGUAACGGCUCACCAAGGCGACGAUGCGUAGCCGACCUGAGAGGGUGAUCGGCCACACUGGGACUGAGACACGGCCCAGACUCCUACGGGAGGCAGCAGUAGGGAAUCUUCCGCAAUGGACGAAAGUCUGACGGAGCAACGCCGCGUGAGUGAUGAAGGUUUUCGGAUCGUAAAACUCUGUUGUUAGGGAAGAACAAGUACCGUUCGAAUAGGGCGGUACCUUGACGGUACCUAACCAGAAAGCCACGGCUAACUACGUGCCAGCAGCCGCGGUAAUACGUAGGUGGCAAGCGUUGUCCGGAAUUAUUGGGCGUAAAGCGCGCGCAGGCGGUUUCUUAAGUCUGAUGUGAAAGCCCCCGGCUCAACCGGGGAGGGUCAUUGGAAACUGGGGAACUUGAGUGCAGAAGAGGAGAGUGGAAUUCCACGUGUAGCGGUGAAAUGCGUAGAGAUGUGGAGGAACACCAGUGGCGAAGGCGACUCUCUG
This 695-nucleotide ribosomal RNA is filed under the name uncultured Bacillus sp. Its description in RNAcentral is "bacterial SSU rRNA". It matches the Rfam family "Bacterial small subunit ribosomal RNA", at positions 55 to 731 of the family's 1533-position model. Lineage: Bacteria; Bacillati; Bacillota; Bacilli; Caryophanales; Bacillaceae. The record is from RNAcentral.